GGAAUGAGUCGCUGGGGGCUUGAGGGGAGGGGUCAAUGUUAAGUGGCUGGCCCCUAGCAGGUGCCUGGAGGCGAGCCUAGUGCAGGAAGUACCCCCUGGGGGGAGGGGGGAAGCUGUGGGCUGGGAAAGGACAAAUGGAAAACGGAAUUAGGGGCCAGACUCUGAGGCAAGGUGAUGGGGAGACACAGAAGGAGGGGCAGUCCGUUUGGGGGAAGAAAUUGGGGCUGGAGAGGGGAGAGGUUGAAGUGAGUUGUGGAUCACACAGGAUAGGUGUUGUGUAUUGUGAGUGAGUGUAUGGGCGGGGGUUCUCUGGAGUUGGGGGAGUGGGGGGAGAUGCAGCGGGACCAGGAAGAGACUGUGGGGUGGGAAGGAAGCGUGCUGAAUGGAAAGGGGGAAAGGGAAAUUUGGGCUCAAGCCAUCCCAGACCAGAGCCAUGUUCCUUGUGCAGCUCUGAACUCCUCUCUGCCUCAUUUCUUUAACCCUGGGGUCAGAGCGUGCUGCUCCCUUUGCCCAUGGUUUCUCCUUUCCUGGUGCAGCGGAGUUCACACUAGCCAGUGUUCUGGUAGAUGGAAAGGUUGCCACUGCCCCACCUCUCCUGGGCCUCCCUCAUCUUAGCUGGGUUUCCCCCUUCUUCACAUUUUGCCCUUCCUAGUUAGUUGGAGUCUGGUUCCUAGGUAAUGCCAGCCGUAGCUGAGGGCCCAGGGGAGCAGGUGGCUGUGCAAAGCCACUUGCAGGCUGUGGACAAAGGGCUGAGACGUGGAAAACCUACCAGUGCCCAUUCCGGCUUUGGCCUGGCUGGGGCAGCCUUGGGUCAAGUCCUCUCUGUAGUCCUGGUUUCCACCAACAUCAGGAAGGGGAGCUGCAAGAGCCAUCUAGGCAGGCACCCCAGGACUGUGCCAGGAAGACCUGGGUUAAGCCCUGCCUCCAUCAAUCUCAAGAUAUGGGACCUCAGGGAAGGGAGGGGAGGUACCGCCAAGGAUGUGUGCACCUGAGCUAUCACCUCAGUUCCUCAUCUGCAAGUCUUUGAUACCCUGGACUCAAAUGGUUUGGAGCUCGGGCUGGGCUCAGAGCGAUUCUUCAGUUAGGAAGUUAACAGCAGGAUUUACUGAAGUAAGCUGCCAGAACUGCUGGGCCUGACAUUGUACCAUUUCAGUUUGGUUUCAUUUUCCUCCACAGCUGGCUCCUGCAAUAACCCUCUAGCUUUCAAACCAGUGUUUUUUACGUCUGGUCACUGAAACCUACAUUUAGCAACGCGGCCUCCAGAGGCCCAAACUAAUAGAAUUGGAGGAAAAAAACAAAAAACAAAACAAAACAAAAAACUGGCCAGUCUAUGUGCUGUCAACACUGAUGCCACUCUUCCUCCAGGAGCCAGUUCUCCCUAUGGGGCAGUCAGGUUUGCACCUGGCUUUUGGGAAUCAGCAGUCCCCUCGACGGAGCAUCAGCUAACAGGCUGGGAACUCUUGCCAACAAGUUCUUAAACGGCUAACAAUUCUGCUAAGAGCUUGCAUGUAUCUAGCUGGUGCUCAAAG
Zalophus californianus (California sea lion) is the source of this 1529-nucleotide long non-coding RNA. RefSeq lists it as uncharacterized. The transcript has 6 exons. Lineage: Eukaryota; Metazoa; Chordata; Mammalia; Carnivora; Otariidae. The record is from RefSeq and is a predicted model, not a curated record.